RNAcentral lists this ribosomal RNA (448 nucleotides) under uncultured bacterium. Its description in RNAcentral is "partial 16S ribosomal RNA". It matches the Rfam family "Bacterial small subunit ribosomal RNA", at positions 29 to 523 of the family's 1533-position model. The record is from RNAcentral.
AAUGAACGCUGGCGGCAGGCCUAACACAUGCAAGUCGAACGGAUCCUUCGGGAUUAGUGGCGGACGGGUGAGUAACGCGUGGGAACAUACCCUUUGGUACGGAAUAGCCUCGGGAAACUGGGAGUAAUCCCGUAUGUGGUCGAGAGACGAAAGAUUUAUCGCCAAAGGAUUGGCCCGCGUUGGAUUAGGUAGUUGGUGGGGUAAUGGCCUACCAAGCCGACGAUCCAUAGCUGGUUUGAGAGGAUGAUCAGCACACUGGCACUGAGACACGGCCCAGACUCCUACGGGAGGCAGCAGUGGGGAAUCUUAGACAAUGGGGGAAACCCUGAUCUAGCCAUGCCGCGUGAUCGAUGAAGGCCUUAGGGUUGUAAAGAUCUUUCAGGUGGGAAGAUAAUGACUGUACCACCAGAAGAAGCCCCGGCUAACUCCGUGCCAGCAGCCGCCGUAA